CGGGGGACGAAAGUGGCGCACGGGUGAGUAACGCGUAGAUAACCUGUCCUAAUGACCGGAACAGCCCUCCGAAAGGGGGAUUAAUACCGGAUACGCCGCAUUGCCGAAGGGUGAUGUGGGAAAGAUGGCCUCUAUUUAUAAGCUGUCACAUUUGGAGGGGUCUGCGUACCAUUAGCUUGUUGGCGGGGUAAUAGCCCACCAAGGCGACGAUGGUUAGCGGGUCUGAGAGGAUGACCCGCCACACUGGCACUGAAACACGGACCAGACUCCUACGGGAGGCAGCAGUGAGGAAUAUUGCGCAAUGGGGGAAACCCUGACGCAGCAACGCCGCGUGGGUGAUGAAGGCCUUCGGGUCGUAAAGCCCUGUCGGAAGGAAAGAAAUGCGUGCGGAUUAAUACUUCGUGCGUUUGACGGUACCUUCAAAGGAAGCACCGGCUAACUCUGUGCCAGCAGCCGCGGUAAUACAGAGGGUGCAAGCGUUGUUCGGAAUUACUGGGCGUAAAGGGCGUGCAGGCGGCCUGAUAAGUCAGAUGUGAAAGUCCUCGGCUCAACCGGGGAAGUGCAUUUGAAACUGUCAGGCUUGAGUACCAGAGGGGAAAGUGGAAUUCCCGGUGUAGAGGUGAAAUUCGUAGAUAUCGGGAGGAAUACCGGUGGCGAAGGCGACUUUCUGGCUGGAUACUGUCGCUGAGACGCGAAAGCGCGGGGAGCAAACAGGAUUAGAUACCCUGGUAGUCCGCGCCGUAAACGAUGUGAACUGGAUGCAGGGGGUGUUGAUCCCCUCUGUGUCGUAGCUAACGCGCUAAGUUCACCGCCUGGGGAGUACGGUCGCAAGAUUAAAACUCAAAGGAAUUGACGGGGGCCCGCACAAGCGGUGGAGUAUGUGGUUUAAUUCGAUGCAACGCGAAGAACCUUACCUGGUCUUGACAUCCCGAGAAUUCCCUUGAAAGAGGGAAGUGCCUCGCAAGAGGAGCUUGGAGACAGGUGCUGCAUGGCUGUCGUCAGCUCGUGUCGUGAGAUGUUGGGUUAAGUCCCGCAACGAGCGCAACCCCCGCCAUCAGUUGCCAGCAUUCAGUUGGGCACUCUGAUGGGACCGCCGGCGUCAAGCCGGAGGAAGGUGGGGAUGACGUCAAGUCCUCAUGGCCUUUAUGACCAGGGCUACACACGUACUACAAUGGCCGGUACAGAGGGCUGCGACACUGCGAGGUGAAGCGAAUCCCUAAAAGCC
Molecule: ribosomal RNA, 1225 nt
Filed under: metagenome
Description: bacterial SSU rRNA
Rfam family: Bacterial small subunit ribosomal RNA
Source: RNAcentral